UAAUAGUUAUGUUCUUUAAAGUUAAAUAAUUUGGCGGUAUUUUAGUCUUUUCAGAGGAACCUGUUCUGUAAAUGAUAAUCCACGAUAUUAUUAUCUUAAAUUAGAAAUUUAUAUAUCAUCGUUAUUAAAUAUUUUUUUAGAAUUUAAUAUUUAAAAAAUUUUAUUUAAUUUUAAUUCAGAUCAUGGUAUAGUUUAUAUUUAAGUAGAAAUGGGUUACAAUAUUAAUAAAUUUGGAUUUUAAAUUUUAAAUUUAAAUGAAAUUGGAUUUGAAAGUAAUUAUUUUUAU
This 286-nucleotide ribosomal RNA is filed under the name Scymnus rubromaculatus. RNAcentral's name for it is "partial 12S ribosomal RNA". The record is from RNAcentral. Lineage: Eukaryota; Metazoa; Arthropoda; Insecta; Coleoptera; Coccinellidae.